Molecule: unclassified non-coding RNA, 21 nt
Filed under: Chlamydomonas reinhardtii
Lineage: Eukaryota; Viridiplantae; Chlorophyta; Chlorophyceae; Chlamydomonadales; Chlamydomonadaceae
Description: small RNA Cre_4157
Source: RNAcentral
UUUGGUGGUACGACAUUGCGU